AACGAACGCUGGCGGCAUGCCUAACACAUGCAAGUCGAACGAGAUCUUCGGGUCUAGUGGCGCACGGGUGCGUAACGCGUGGGAAUCUGCUCUUUGGUUCGGAAUAACAGUUGGAAACGACUGCUAAUACCGGAUGAUGACGAAAGUCCAAAGAUUUAUCGCCAGAGGAUGAGCCCGCGUAGGAUUAGCUAGUUGGUGUGGUAAAGGCGCACUAAGGCGACGAUCCUUAGCUGGUCUGAGAGGAUGAUCAGCCACACUGGGACUGAGACACGGCCCAGACUCCUACGGGAGGCAGCAGUGGGGAAUAUUGGACAAUGGGCGAAGGCCUGAUCCAGCAAUGCCGCGUGAGUGAUGAAGGCCUUAGGGAUGUAAAGCUCUUUUACCCGGGUUGAUAAUGACAGUACCGGGAGAAUAAGCUCCGGCUAACUCCGUGCCAGCCGCCGCAGUAA
RNAcentral lists this ribosomal RNA (449 nucleotides) under uncultured bacterium. Its description in RNAcentral is "partial 16S ribosomal RNA". It matches the Rfam family "Bacterial small subunit ribosomal RNA", at positions 29 to 523 of the family's 1533-position model. The record is from RNAcentral.